UACGUAGGUGGCAAGCGUUAUCCGGAUUUAUUGGGUGUAAAGGGCGUGUAGGCGGGAAAGCAAGUCAGAUGUGAAAACUCAGGGCUCAACCCUGAGCCUGCAUUUGAAACUGUUUUUCUCGAGUGCUGGAGAGGCAAUCGGAAUUCCGUGUGUAGCGGUGAAAUGCGUAGAUAUACGGAGGAACACCAGUGGCGAAGGCGGAUUGCUGGACAGUAACUGACGCUGAGGCGCGAAAGCGUGGGGAGCAAACAGG
Molecule: ribosomal RNA, 253 nt
Filed under: uncultured bacterium
Lineage: Bacteria
Description: partial 16S ribosomal RNA
Rfam family: Bacterial small subunit ribosomal RNA
Source: RNAcentral